RNAcentral lists this ribosomal RNA (548 nucleotides) under Petrolisthes tridentatus. Its description in RNAcentral is "partial 16S large subunit ribosomal RNA". It matches the Rfam family "Bacterial large subunit ribosomal RNA", at positions 1799 to 2611 of the family's 2925-position model. Lineage: Eukaryota; Metazoa; Arthropoda; Malacostraca; Decapoda; Porcellanidae. The record is from RNAcentral.
UCUGUUUAACAAAAACAUGUCUGUAUGAAGUUAAAUGGAGUCUAUUCUGCCCAUUGAGAGAAAUUCUUAAAAGGCCGCGGUAUACUAACUGUGCAAAGGUAGCAUAAUCAGUAGUUUCUUAAUUGGAGGCUUGUAUGAAUGAUUGGAUAAGAAUUAAACUGUCUUUUCUUAAAAAAUUGAAUUUUAUUUUUAAGUGAAAAAGCUUAAAUGAAGCAGAGGGACGAUAAGACCCUAUAAAUCUUUAUGUAUAUGUUUUUAUUUAUUAWAUAUUAGUYUGUUAAGGUAGAAAUAAAAGCARAUUCAUUGUGCUGGGGCGGUAGAAAUAUARAAAAACUAUUUUUAAAAGAUAACAAUGUUAAUUGAAAGUAAAAGAUCUUAAUUAAGGAUUAAAAGAAUAAGUUACUUUAGGGAUAACAGCAUAAUUUCUUUUGAGAGUUCAAAUCGAAAAAGAAGUUUGUGACCUCGAUGUUGAAUUAAAAAUUCCUUAUGGUGCAGAAGUUAUAAUAGGAAAGUCUGUUCGACUUUUAAAUUCUUACAUGAUCUGAGAA